Molecule: long non-coding RNA, 1163 nt
Organism: Cygnus olor (mute swan)
Lineage: Eukaryota; Metazoa; Chordata; Aves; Anseriformes; Anatidae
Exons: 7
Source: RefSeq, a predicted model, not a curated record
UGAUUGCACACAGCCAGGAGAUCAGCAGCCAGAGCACCAUCUGUGCACGCAGCUUAUGCGUAUGACCCGGCUUCCUCACAAAGGAAUGUGUCAGCUUCUGCUUUUCUGGAUCAAUUGAAAGCCUCCUUCAUGCUAGGAGCUCCAGUGAAAUUCUGUGACUGUUCCCUGAAGUCAGAUCUAAUCUCCUUGCCCAGCACGCCCAACGGGUACAGGUUUUCUUCAGCAAGAAGCUCUUCCUGCAAUGCUGCUUCCACGCAUUGGAGCUGGGAAGGUUCAGCAGCUCUUCAGUGUCACCUCACCGCCCUGUGAGUUGUGGAAGGAUCAUCUCAGCAUCCUGGAGAAUGGUCUGUGACAGUAGGGACAACAAAUUAAAGAGUCCCUGAACACUGCUUUCAGAGGACCACUGCAUCCUGGGUCAGACUUCCUCACCUGGCAGCCCAGCCCUGCUCCUUUCCCUUCCUCCAUCCCAGAAGGUGCAGCAGAUGGAGGAGGUCCUGGCUGCAGUGAAGCAGAGGAAAAGGUUACAUCCCUGAUUUCUGCUGAAGUAAGGUUGCAGUUCUCAGUUUGAAGGAUUUACCCAGCAGAAAACUUGAGGAAAUAACAGGGCGUGUUGAUGCAUCCUGGAGCUGCACUGGCACGCAUCACCAUGGUUUCUCAUGGUCAGCCUGUGGUUACUUGGCUCUUCCAAGACAUAACACUUUCAGAAAGAACACAAGCAACCAAUCCACUGGAGAUCAAGACAUGAAUAAUCAACAUCAAGGGAAAAUUUAUAAAAUGUUUCCUGGUGUUACUACACCCACUCAAGCUCCAAGGAAAAUGAUUAUCAAUACUUCAUACUGAACUCUUAUCAGUUGCCUUAAGGACUGUGCUGUUAUGCAAAAUUACAUAUAAUUUAAGAUCAAAAGAAGCAUAUUAGCAUGUAAAAUUUGUCUUUCUGAUAAAAUUAAUAAUAACAAAGAUAAUUGACCUGCUUAUGAAAGAUAAUUGCCUCUGAAGAACAGUUAAUAUUUAUUAAUAGUAAGCACACAUAAGGAUUACUAACUUAAUAAGCCACAUAUGAACUAAUAUAUUGAAGAAAUCAUGAAAACAUGCUGUGUUCAUAUUUAGAUUUUAUUUUUUAAGCUUUCUAGGUUUCCCUGUGAUAAAUAAAAUUGAAAUAGAUA